CCUGCAGCCGGGCGAAGUGACGCAUCAGCUCCUGGUUCAGGUUGGUCUCGUUCAGCUUGGGAGCAAGCAGCAACAUAGACUGGAGAGCGAGAAACAGAGAAGAGUUGACAGCUACAGCGGUCCAACAACACCCUGUGCACAUGGUUGGUGUCUGUGAAGCCGUGAACAACAUGAGGGAAAAUCUGGGAGUUGACUGCUGCCUCAUUCAGAUACUGAAUGAACUGCUCCAUCUGAGAGAGAGAGAGAGACGUGGAACAAGAGAAGAAACAAUGGUGGUAAAUGAGAAAAUUAAAAACAUACACAAAAAAGCCUCACACACCUGCUGCAGCAGUCGUAUCCUCAUGGCUCUGUCUGUGGAGGAAAACAUCUUGACGAUAACAGGGAUGAUCUUCUGUUGGUACUCUUCUGCUGACAGGAACUUCCCCACCUGGCAGACCGACAGAGGGAGAUGAGAUGAGGGAAAUAUUUUAUGUUGCAGACUCCUAUCUGAUGUUUAAUAAAGUUUUAAAGUUGUGCUGGGAGGUUUGGACUCACCUUGAAGAGCGGUGUGAGGACUACGGCGCCGGCAUUACCAAACUCGA
Long non-coding RNA from Acanthopagrus latus (yellowfin seabream), 581 nucleotides. RefSeq lists it as uncharacterized. The transcript is spliced from 4 exons. Lineage: Eukaryota; Metazoa; Chordata; Actinopteri; Spariformes; Sparidae. The record is from RefSeq and is a predicted model, not a curated record.